RNAcentral lists this unclassified non-coding RNA (574 nucleotides) under Poa pratensis (Kentucky bluegrass). RNAcentral describes it as "sequence contains ITS1, 5.8S rRNA gene, ITS2". The record is from RNAcentral. Lineage: Eukaryota; Viridiplantae; Streptophyta; Magnoliopsida; Poales; Poaceae.
AGACCGUGAACGYGUCAUCUUGCCUGCCAGCGGCGGCCCUGCCGUCGCUUGGCCAAACUCCUCGAUAACCUCCUCUCCUUGGAGCGGGGGCUCGGGGUAAAAGAACCCACGGCGCCGAAGGCGUCAAGGAACACUGUGCCUAACCCGGGGAAGCGGCUGGCUUGCUAGCUGCCCCUCGUGUUGCAAUGCUAUUUAAUCCACACGACUCUCGGCAACGGAUAUCUCGGCUCUCGCAUCGAUGAAGAACGUAGCGAAAUGCGAUACCUGGUGUGAAUUGCAGAAUCCCGCGAACCAUCGAGUCUUUGAACGCAAGUUGCGCCCGAGGCCACUUGGCCGAGGGCACGCCUGCCUGGGCGUCACGCCAAACACGCUCCCACCCCUCAUCGGGUKGUGGGAUGCGGCAUGUGGCUCCCCGUCUUGCAAGGGGCGGUGGGCCGAAGAUGCGGCUGCCGGCGUAUCGUGCCGGACACAGCGCGUGGUGGGCGAMCUCGCUUUACUUACCGCAGUGCAUCCGGCCCAUAGCCGACGUGAUGGCCUUAAGGACCCUAUGAACGGAGCGCAUGACGCUCCGACC